UACGGAGGGAGCUAGCGUUGUCCGGAAUUAUUGGGCGUAAAGAGCUCGUAGGCGGUGUGUCGCGUCGGCCGUGAAAACCUGCAGCUUAACUGUGGGCUUGCGGUCGAUACGGGCAUCACUGGAGUUCGGCAGGGGAGACUGGAAUUCCUGGUGUAGCGGUGAAAUGCGCAGAUAUCAGGAGGAACACCGGUGGCGAAGGCGGGUCUCUGGGCCGAUACUGACGCUGAGGAGCGAAAGCGUGGGGAGCGAACAGG
This 254-nucleotide ribosomal RNA is filed under the name uncultured bacterium. RNAcentral describes it as "partial 16S ribosomal RNA". It matches the Rfam family "Bacterial small subunit ribosomal RNA", at positions 524 to 776 of the family's 1533-position model. The record is from RNAcentral.